RNAcentral lists this long non-coding RNA (312 nucleotides) under Elaeis guineensis (African oil palm). RNAcentral's name for it is "long non-coding RNA (EGUI_LNC068939)". Lineage: Eukaryota; Viridiplantae; Streptophyta; Magnoliopsida; Arecales; Arecaceae. The record is from RNAcentral.
CCUUCUCUCUUCAAGGCCUACACUUUUUCUCUCUAAAAAUUUUACUUUCUCUCUAGACUAAUUCUCUCUCUUGAUAGAUUUCUCUUUUUAGAAGUCAUCUCUUUAAGAUUAGCUAGUAAAGAAAUUUGUUUUAAUGAUUCUGAUCCGAUUCUAAUAAAGAGAGUCUUGAUCCACGAUCACUAAGCAGUGCACCGCAACCCAUCUUGGCCAAAUUUAGGUACCAUUAGAUUUGAUUACCUAUGAUUUAUUUUGAAUCAUCUAUAAACUAAUUCAAUUAUGAUUUGAUUAAAUCAUCUUGAUUACAUCAAUUGG